UAUGAUGAUCCUUUAAGAAUUCUUAAAAUU
RNAcentral lists this unclassified non-coding RNA (30 nucleotides) under Mus musculus (house mouse). Its description in RNAcentral is "piRNA piR-mmu-68215289". Lineage: Eukaryota; Metazoa; Chordata; Mammalia; Rodentia; Muridae. The record is from RNAcentral.